RNAcentral lists this ribosomal RNA (480 nucleotides) under uncultured bacterium. RNAcentral describes it as "partial 16S ribosomal RNA". It matches the Rfam family "Bacterial small subunit ribosomal RNA", at positions 30 to 507 of the family's 1533-position model. The record is from RNAcentral.
UGAACGCUGGCGGCAUGCUUUACACAUGCAAGUCGAACGGUAACAGGCCGCAAGGUGCUGACGAGUGGCGAACGGGUGAGUAAUGCAUCGGCACGUGCCCAGUCGUGGGGGAUAACUACUCGAAAGAGUAGCUAAUACCGCAUACGAUCUAUGGAUGAAAGCGGGGGACCGUAAGGCCUCGCGCGAUUGGAGCGGCCGAUGUCAGAUUAGGUAGUUGGUGGGGUAAAGGCUCACCAAGCCAACGAUCUGUAGCUGGUCUGAGAGGACGACCAGCCACACUGGGACUGAGACACGGCCCAGACUCCUACGGGAGGCAGCAGUGGGGAAUGUUGGACAAUGGGCGCAAGCCUGAUCCAGCAAUGCCGCGUGCAGGAAGAAGGCCUUCGGGUUGUAAACUGCUUUUGUACGGAACGAAACGGCUCUGGUUAAUACCCGGGGCUAAUGACGGUACCGUAAGAAUAAGCACCGGCUAACUACGUG